RNAcentral lists this unclassified non-coding RNA (928 nucleotides) under Hevea brasiliensis (rubber tree). Lineage: Eukaryota; Viridiplantae; Streptophyta; Magnoliopsida; Malpighiales; Euphorbiaceae. The record is from RNAcentral.
CUCUAAUUCAACAUCACGAAACAUACAAUAUAAAAAUUUAAGUGUGAAAUAGGUUUAGGAUCUUUGACAAAUAUGAUGAGUAAUGAACAAGAUUUAGAUUAACUAAUCUAUCAAAACAGGGCUGGGCCAAUACCAAGAAAUCUUCCCCACCACGAGUGGAAAGCCUGUGACACCACAGUCUCCUGAAUUGGCAAAACCUGCCAAGUUAGGUUCACGAGUUAUCUCCUCAAGAACCCAUUCUUGCUUUUCCUAUAUAAACACCCAAAACCCAGAACUUGGAGAGAAAAAGAAAAGCAUUAGUAGUAAUAGAGUAUAGCAACAAAAAUGGGGAGAGUCCAAAAGCUUUUUCUUGUGAUUGCUGUGCUCCUUGCAGUAAUCAGCAGCAACAGGUUGCUUCAGCUUUCUAAUGCACAAACCAUCUGCAACAUGCCGGUGGCAGGACUAAUGGCAUGCAAGCCUGCUGUGACUCCUCCAAACCCUGCUGCUCCGACAAGCGACUGCUGCUCGGCUCUUUCCCACGCAGACAUUCGGUGUCUAUGCUCUUACAAGAAUUCCAAGUUGCUUCCUUCUCUUGGGAUUGAUCCAAACCUUGCCAUUCAGCUUCCAGCCAAGUGCAAGCUUCCUCACCCUGCCAACUGCUAGAUUAAAGAACAAGUUGAGUUUCUGCUCAGUUUGGAAGGAUUUAAUAAUUAGCAGAAAGAAACAAAAGCUGUUGUUGUGAUAAAGGUGAAGUUUGAGGGAUCUUUUGAUGUUGGUUAAUUUAGCAACUUAUUGUAUUUUUCUUGUUCUUGAGUUGGCAUUAUAUCUGUAUGAUGGUUGUGUCUCAAAUGGAAUAAUAUUUUAAGAAAUGUUCUAUGUUAAUUAAUUAUUGUUAGAUAAGUUCAAAUUAGCAAAUCUAAAAUUAUGUGCAAUAUAUAUAUAUAUAUAA